Molecule: long non-coding RNA, 248 nt
Filed under: Homo sapiens (human)
Lineage: Eukaryota; Metazoa; Chordata; Mammalia; Primates; Hominidae
Description: non-protein coding lnc-OSBPL1A-10:1
Source: RNAcentral
AAGUUCAUGCAUGGAUGGAAAUUUCCUGAUGAAGACUUCAUUUCAGCCCUGGCACAUUUCUACAGCAAAUGGUGGACCCAACAUAAACAGCUCCCAGUUUUUCAUUUGUGCUGCUAAGACUGGCUGGUUGGGUGGUAAGCAUACACCUUUCAUCAGAGUGAAUGGCAACACAAAUAUUGCCAAAGUUUUGUGCAUAGGAAUAGCAAGAUUAGCAAGAAGUUCACCACUGCUAGCUGCAGUAACUCUCC